Molecule: ribosomal RNA, 468 nt
Filed under: uncultured bacterium
Lineage: Bacteria
Description: partial 16S ribosomal RNA
Rfam family: Bacterial small subunit ribosomal RNA
Source: RNAcentral
GACGAACGCUGGCGGCGUGCUUAACACAUGCAAGUCGAACGGAAAGGCCCUGCUUUUGUGGGGUGCUCGAGUGGCGAACGGGUGAGUAACACGUGAGUAACCUGCCCUUGACUUUGGGAUAACUUCAGGAAACUGGGGCUAAUACCGGAUAGGAGCUCCUGCUGCAUGGUGGGGGUUGGAAAGUUUCGGCGGUUGGGGAUGGACUGGCGGCUUAUCAGCUUGUUGGUGGGGUAGUGGCUUACCAAGGCUUUGACGGGUAGCCGGCCUGAGAGGGUGACCGGUCACAUUGGGACUGAGAUACGGCCCAGACUCCUACGGGAGGCAGCAGUGGGGAAUAUUGCACAAUGGGCGGAAGCCUGAUGCAGCAACGCCGCGUGCGGGAUGACGGCCUUCGGGUUGUAAACCGCUUUCGCCUGUGACGAAGCGUGAGUGACGGUAAUGGGUAAAGAAGCACCGGCUAACUACGUG